AGUUUGGUGCCUGACGAAAAGGAUUACCUCGAUACGGUAAAUCAUGCAGCUUAACUGCUCAAACUA
This 66-nucleotide transfer RNA is filed under the name Ceriodaphnia dubia. RNAcentral describes it as "tRNA-Ile". The record is from RNAcentral. Lineage: Eukaryota; Metazoa; Arthropoda; Branchiopoda; Diplostraca; Daphniidae.